Molecule: ribosomal RNA, 520 nt
Filed under: uncultured Glomeromycotina
Lineage: Eukaryota; Fungi; Glomeromycota
Description: SSU rRNA
Rfam family: Eukaryotic small subunit ribosomal RNA
Source: RNAcentral
AGCAGCCGCGAUAAUUCCAGCUCCAAUAGCGUAUAUUAAAGUUGUUGCAGUUAAAAAGCUCGUAGUUGAAUUUCGGGGUCAGUGGGUCGGUCGUGCCACUGGUAUGUACUGGCCCUACUGAUUCCUCCUUCUUGAAGAACUGUAAUGCCAUUAAUUUGGUGUUGCAGGGAAACAGGACUGUUACUUUGAAAAAAUUAGAGUGUUUAAAGCAGGCAAUCGCUUGAAUACAUUAGCAUGGAAUAAUGAAAUAGGACGCUCGAUCCUAUUUUGUUGGUUUCUAGGAUUGACGUAAUGAUUAAUAGGGAUAGUUGGGGGCAUUAGUAUUCAAUUGUCAGAGGUGAAAUUCUUGGAUUUAUUGAAGACUAACUACUGCGAAAGCAUUUGCCAAGGAUGUUUUCAUUAAUCAAGAACGAAAGUUAGGGGAUCGAAGACGAUCAGAUACCGUCGUAGUCUUAACCAUAAACUAUGCCGACUAGGGAUCGGAUGAUGUUAAUUUUUUAAUGACUCAUUCGGUGUCCUU